Molecule: ribosomal RNA, 400 nt
Filed under: phytoplankton environmental sample
Lineage: Eukaryota
Description: partial small subunit ribosomal RNA
Rfam family: Eukaryotic small subunit ribosomal RNA
Source: RNAcentral
AGCUCCAAUAGCGUAUAUUAAAGUUGUUGCAGUUAAAAAGCUCGUAGUUGGAUUUCGGAGCGGCCCGGCCGGUCCGCCGAAAGGCGAGCACUGGUCUGGCGCUCUUCCUCUCGAAGGCUUCGACUGCGCUUCGUUGUUGUGGUCGAGGAGUUCGGGACGUUUACUUUGAAAAAAUUAGAGUGUUCAAGGCAGGCCGUGGCCUGAAUACAUUAGCAUGGAAUAAUGGAAGAGGACCUCGGUCCUAUUUUGUUGGUUUCCAGGGCCGAAGUAAUGAUUGAGAGGGACAGUUGGGGGCAUUCGUAUUUAAUUGUCAGAGGUGAAAUUCUCGGAUUUAUGAAAGACGAACAAGUGCGAAAGCAUUUGCCAAGGAUGUUUUCAUUAAUCAAGAACGAAAGUACGC